GUCCCUAACACCGAUCACCGAGCAGAAGUUUUGGUAUCAUGGUAAGACGUCACAUGAAGAAAAUGGAGUCGUUUUGAAGGAAUGAUUGACAUCUCUGGGGUCCCCAGCAUCUGAGACCUGAGUGAGCUCUUGGUACCCGGGGAGGCUUUUCGGGGUCUGAGUCUCUGGAGUGUGCCCCGUGGUAUUCUCUGAUGACGUCAUCUGGGACCCUGCUGAGAGCCCAGAGGCAGUGUAGAGCUGGUCAGGGGCUAUGGAUGCUGCAGUGUUUCACAUCCAUUCCCUCCCCUCCUGCAUAGCUGGGCCCCAGAGAGCAGAGCUGACCCCGUGGUCCUGUUCCCUGGGGCUCCCAUGUCCAUUCUCUACAGCUGUGCCCUAGUCUCCCUUCACUUCUUCACCCUGAACUCACAGGUUGAGGUCCACAUGGUCCAAACCCCAGGUCAGGGAUUAACCUGCAGCUCAGGGGUGGCUCAGGCUGUGGCUCCUAGAAAUCCUGCUUGCUCUUCCUCACUCACGUCUCCUGGGAUCCCCGGACCUGCUCUCAUUUGCAAGCAGAGGUGGACGUUGGUAGUGCAAGGGGUCAGACUGAUGGAAAACACUGGGUGUGGAGAGGUCUUGUUCCCCACACUCUGCUGGCCUUGUCUCCAUCUCAGGGAGACCAGCAGGUGGGACAGCCCAGUGAGGUCUGCACUAGAGUCCAGGUGGUUCUGGACUGUGUCUUUGCGAGUCCAGCAGGAUAUUCCAACCCUGGAGCUGCAUCCCUGCUGCCUGAGGCGCUGGCCCCAGAGACUGUUUGUCCAGAGACUCCGACUCCUUCCUCCAACACAAAAUAGUCCUCGUUUCCAUCUUCUAAUAUGUGUGCUGUUUCAAAUCCUGGAUGAGACACCCAAUCCUGGGCUUUGCUCUGGCCUUGGAAACAGCAGAAGGUGGCCCAAGUUCCUGUGCCCCUGCUCCCUGAUGGGAGAACCUGAAGAACCUCCUGGCUCCGGGAUUCCGAUUGGCCCAUCCCUGCCCUGGUGCCCAGCUUUGUACAGAAGCAGCAGAUGGAAGACCACUUU
This 1055-nucleotide long non-coding RNA is filed under the name Oryctolagus cuniculus (rabbit). RNAcentral's name for it is "lncRNA (ENSOCUG00000033657.1)". The record is from RNAcentral. Lineage: Eukaryota; Metazoa; Chordata; Mammalia; Lagomorpha; Leporidae.